Non-coding RNA from Electrophorus electricus (electric eel), 238 nucleotides. The record is from RefSeq and is a predicted model, not a curated record. NCBI's taxonomy places the organism in Eukaryota, Metazoa, Chordata, Actinopteri, Gymnotiformes, Gymnotidae.
UCGGAAUCCCCCUGUGUGCCAGCGCCUCUGACGCCAGCAGGAGCUUCUCUGAGACCGUGUGAAUCUUUUCCAGUAAGAUAGGAUACCGGGCCUCGGGGUUUGGCGAAUGCCUGCCUGUGAGCAUGCUGCUUGGGGUGAACCUCCUCAUACAGGAGGCGGCUCUUGCAGCUGGAAUACAGCAUUCUCUCCUUCACACUGCAGCGGUAGCCCGGCAUCGAGUAGAUGAACACUGAGAACA